This is a long non-coding RNA of Ictalurus punctatus (channel catfish), 705 nucleotides long. Lineage: Eukaryota; Metazoa; Chordata; Actinopteri; Siluriformes; Ictaluridae. The record is from Ensembl.
AUCCUAGGAAAUUGCUUUGACGUAAAGCAAGUCAUCCGAAUGUGUACUUGUAAACGCUCUGUUUACUUAAUUGAAGCAAAUGCACUGAAGAGGUGCAGAAAGAUGAGAAUAUAAACAUGGACAAACACGUUUAUAGGCUCCAGAAAAAAAUAGUCUAGCGUUUCCUUAAAUCACUUUUGCCGCGUUGCGUGUUCAGAGCAAAUUCGAAUGGAAAAUUGUUCUCGUUUGCUAGCUCACGUAUCAAAGAGAAGAGUUCUCUCACCUUCGAUAGCUCAGUUGGCAGAGCGGAGGACUGUAGGUGCUCAUAGCGGUCAUCCUUAGGUCGCUGGUUCGACUCCGGCUCGAAGGAGGGCUGUCUCCGUGCGAGUUGGCUUCUUUUUUUUUCAAAAUGUUAAUUUGGCCAGAGGUGUGUAAAAAGCUCUUCCCUGACCGGGAAUCGAACCCGGGCCGCGGCGGUGAGAGCGCCGAAUCCUAACCACUAGACAACCAGGGACGAAAACCGAGAAAUUGGUGGCCUCUUCGCUGGCCAUGCUGGCCCCUGUCUACCACCAAAAGCUCCUACGAAAGGCACGUGAGCGUCAGCACUGGAAAGUGGAGCAAUAAGAUGGUGGCUUGGUCUGAUGAAUCAUGUUUUCUUUUACAUCAUGUAUGGCUUAGGGUUAGGGUUAGAAAAGGCUUGAAAAGACGCUUGGCCAAGGAGUUGCA